AGUUAGGGCUGUUCUUCGCUGGAGUAGCUCUGUGACUAUGGGACCAUAGCUGCCUGGCGAAGAAUGGUCCCUUGA
Branchiostoma floridae (Florida lancelet) is the source of this 75-nucleotide non-coding RNA. The record is from Rfam. NCBI's taxonomy places the organism in Eukaryota, Metazoa, Chordata, Leptocardii, Amphioxiformes, Branchiostomatidae.